UGCACUUCAUUUCUCGGAGUCCGGUAAUAAAAUUUUAAUCCUCAAUUUAUUUUGUUUUAUUUUCCCUUUUUUGUAGAACAAGUAAUCAUUAACAGAUGCAAAAGCUAUGGGAUAAUUAAAUGUACAUGGCAUAUAGGUCAUAGGUAGUAACACUUACCAAUUCUCUCCAUUUAUACCUUUUCUUUUUAAAUCAUUAUCCAUAUUUAAAGGAUGACAAUGGAUUUCAAGUAUUGAUAAUAUGUCGUAAUCUCGAAGUUUUUACAUGGCUGUUUAGUUAACUUUGAUGCUGAUACAUUAUGCUAGAGAUGUGAAAUUGAUAAUUGUAUCCCAUCAUGUCUUCUUGUUUGUAGGGCUGCUAGUUGUUUUGUGAUGUUUAGGUUAUAACAGCACUAGUAACGCAAGUGCAUGCAUAGCCAUUCUCACAAAAUGAAAACAUAAAAAGUUCAUCCUUGUUUUGGGUAAUCAAAGACCAACUUACUAGCUUUCUUGUGAUUCCUAACCUGUCCUGUCAUCCUCCUCAAUCCCCAACUAGCGUUGUAUCUGCUUAAAGCUGGAUUUUUGGCUCAUACUUUUUCCCCUAGUUCAUGACUAUAUUUUUAUGAGGGAAUCAUUAAAAAAUUAAACUUGGUUAAAAAAUUAUGCAUUAUGUGCACAUUGCAUCUGAAGUGGGUGACCGACUUGGUUGCUUUAGGUUAUGUUUGUAAUAGUUGUCUAGUCUAGGCAAUGAGCUUGUAUCGGUCGUUCUUCAA
RNAcentral lists this unclassified non-coding RNA (749 nucleotides) under Hevea brasiliensis (rubber tree). The record is from RNAcentral. Lineage: Eukaryota; Viridiplantae; Streptophyta; Magnoliopsida; Malpighiales; Euphorbiaceae.